Long non-coding RNA from Neopsephotus bourkii (Bourke's parrot), 730 nucleotides. RefSeq lists it as uncharacterized. Lineage: Eukaryota; Metazoa; Chordata; Aves; Psittaciformes; Psittacidae. The record is from RefSeq and is a predicted model, not a curated record. The transcript is spliced from 3 exons.
ACCAUAGAAUGGCUUGGGUUGGAAGGGACCCCAAAGCUCAUCCAGUCCAACCCACCUGCAAUGAGCAGGGACAUCUUCACCUAGAUCAGGUUGAUCAGGACCACAUCCCACCUGGCAUCUUCCCCACCUGAACUUCGGAUGCUCAGGAAAGGGAACAUGAUUUCUUUUACAAAGCCAUUUCUUGGCACGAGGAAGCGCCAGCUCCUGGCCUGCCCUGUGCUGGUGUCCUCAGAGUAGGAAAAGCUCAGCUCUGCCUGUGCCAUAGUGGGGUGACAAUGGGUAUAACCCAGCCUGGAAUCCCCCAGAGCCCAGAGGGAUGGGGACAGCACUGCCCCACUGCUGACAGUGGGUUUUCAAAGCACAAAAGCCAUCGGUUGUAAACUUCCACUCAAGGUAGAACCAGAGUGCCUGGGGUCCUUGGUCAGUGGGUCCUAUGUCUCCCACCACCACCUGGUAUUGAGCAUCUCACUGCUGGCCGUGAAGAAGGCAAAGGCUGCAGGGACACUGCAUUAGACAAGAGAGGAGAUUCAAAACCACCCUGCUUUGCUUUUGGGGGCCGCUUUGGUGGGGCAUGAAGAGGUUGAGAUCUCUUUCCUCGCAUUGGGCUGAGCUUUGUGGCCACCUCUAGAGUUGGAGGCGAAGGAUGGGGUGGUGAAGAGGCUGGAGAGGGCCAAGGAGUCAGCACGUUAAGGAUUUGACCCACAAAGCUGGAUAAAGCAAAAGAAAAACC